RNAcentral lists this unclassified non-coding RNA (162 nucleotides) under soil metagenome. RNAcentral's name for it is "partial internal transcribed spacer 1". The record is from RNAcentral.
AAGAGACGUUGCCCUCGGGGUAUACCUCCCACCCUUGUUAUAUUAUACCACUUUGUGGCUUGGCGGGCCCGUCCUCGGACCACCGGCUUCUGCUGGUCAGUGCCCGCUCAGAGGACCUAAAACUCUGUUUGUUAAUAUUGUCUGAGUACUAUAUAAUAGUUA